AAUGGGGGCAACCCUGAUCCAGCCAUGCCGCGUGAGUGAAGAAGGCCUUCGGGUUGUAGAGCACUUUCAGUGGGGAAGAACGGGUUCGGGCUAAUACCCCGGAUCACUGACGUUACCCACAGAAGAAGCACCGGCUAACUCCGUGCCAGCAGCCGCGGUAAUACGGAGGGUGCAAGCGUUAAUCGGAAUCACUGGGCGUAAAGCGCACGUAGGCGGCACGUUAAGUCAGAUGUGAAACCCCGGGGCUAAACCUGGGAAUGGCAUUUGAUACAGCGCGCUCGAGUCUGAUAGAGGGGGGUGGAAUUCCAGGUGUAGCGGUGAAAUGCGUAGAUAUCUGGAGGAACACCGGUGGCGAAGGCGGCCCCCUGGAUCAUGACUGACGCUGAGGUGCGAAAGCGUGGGUAGCAAA
RNAcentral lists this ribosomal RNA (409 nucleotides) under uncultured bacterium. RNAcentral's name for it is "bacterial SSU rRNA". It matches the Rfam family "Bacterial small subunit ribosomal RNA", at positions 370 to 772 of the family's 1533-position model. The record is from RNAcentral.